Molecule: ribosomal RNA, 388 nt
Filed under: uncultured bacterium
Lineage: Bacteria
Description: bacterial SSU rRNA
Rfam family: Bacterial small subunit ribosomal RNA
Source: RNAcentral
AUUGAACGCUGGCGGCAUGCCUUACACAUGCAAGUCGAACGGCAGCACGGGAGCUUGCUCCUGGUGGCGAGUGGCGAACGGGUGAGUAAUAUAUCGGAACGUACCCUAGAGUGGGGAUAACGCAGCGAAAGUUGCGCUAAUACCGCAUACGAUCUACGGAUGAAAGUGGGGGAUCGCAAGACCUCAUGCUCAUGGAGCGGCCGAUAUCUGAUUAGCUAGUUGGUGGGGUAAAGGCCUACCAAGGCAUCGAUCAGUAGCUGGUCUGAGAGGACGACCAGCCACACUGGAACUGAGACACGGUCCAGACUCCUACGGGAGGCAGCAGUGGGGAAUUUUGGACAAUGGGCGCAAGCCUGAUCCAGCAAUGCCGCGUGCAGGAUGAAGGCCU